GUGCCGUUUUCCUUGUCCCGAGCUUCAAAAUCAAGAAGAAAAAAUGAUUUAUAAAUUGAAAAGUUAUACAAUAUAGUCAUUAAGUACAUAAAAUUAUUCUCUUACAAUGUUAUAUUUAUGUAAAAUAUAAAACAUAAAACAUAAUUCGAACAUGUCUUUCAUCCUAACUAUCAAUGUUAGAUGGAAGAAGAAUAAGGGAAUACUUGUGCUUAAAAUCUUCAAUAAUGGUAGAAAUAGAUUCAAGAUUUUCUAGAGGCUCUCAUGUGUUGGUUGAUUAUAAGUAAAUAAGUUAUAAAUAAUACAUAUAGAAAUAGUGUUUUGUUAACAUUAAUAUCACAGAAAUGGUAAAAAAAAAUGUGGUUUUUUUAGAAGUACUUAUUAUACUUUUGCAUUUAUGUAAUUUAAAAUUUUGCCAAUAAUUUUUUUUUACGUUUUCAUGCUUUUCCCAUAAUUGAAAUCCAUAAAAUAAUAUUAAUUUCUUUUCAUUUAAUAAGUUGGAAGAAAAUCAUCUCACUUUAUAUAUUAUGUAUAUAAACAAAAAUAAAUUAGUUGUCUUUAAAAGAAAAGAAAACUAAUUUAUUUCUAUAUAUAUAUAUAUAUAUAUAUAUAUAUAUAUAUAAUAUUGAGAUGAUUUAUGAGGAUUUAAAUGGAAAAAAAUAUAAUAUUAUUUUAUUGAUAAAGGUAAAACACUUUUUUUACAAUGAUUCUUAUAUUAUUUGAACUUUUUUUUCUUCUUCAUAAUAUGUUAUAUUUUGUUUAACUUAAUUACACUCGUUAUUAUUUUUGUUUAAGAAAUUAUAUUUAUCUUUCCUAUAUGAGUAGUAAGUGGUAAGUAUAAUGUAUGUACAUAAUAGAUGUGUUUUGUGCAAGUUUAGAGAAAGGAUUAAAUAAUUUGUAAAAUUUCACUGUGUCUCGGUUUUUAAUUGAUACUCCUAAACUAAUUUUACAAGUAGAAUAGAGAAAACAAAAAUAAAAACAAUGGAGUUGAGACUAAUGAUUGAGAACAACCUUCUUUUUGUUAAUGAAUCAUUUUGCAUAACAAUUUCUGUUUGAUUUAACAUUCUACAUUAUUAAAAUUAGAAUAAAAGUAUGAAGUAAUCACCUGAGAGAAAAGAUAUUAGCUGAAGUUGUUGCAAAAAACGCAUCAUCCACAAGAAAAGUACCAUUUGCACCUCCUCCACAAUCACUACACAACAAAAAAAGUAAAUAGAGAGAACAUUAAACCCAAAUCAGAAAUCCAAAAUUCUAAUCUAACUUUUUAUCAACAAUGAAAACUUUAUUAAUCAAGAGAUAAAAUAUUAUGAGAAUAGGUGGUACUUUUAUCCACUGAAUCCUUGAAAUUAACAAAGAGAAAGACAAGUUGAUGUCUCAUCUCUUCUAUUAUUAAUUGAAAUCAUAAACAAAGAGCUUAGAGAAUAAUAUAUAGAGGAAAGAAAAUGAUUACCUGCGAUUUGAAGUGGAGAACAAUAAAGAAUAACAAGAGACGAUCAUGUCUCUUGCUCCCUUGGGUAGUUAGGGACAAACCCUACAUUUGUUAGAGAGGAGAA
Molecule: long non-coding RNA, 1547 nt
Filed under: Lupinus angustifolius (narrow-leaved blue lupine)
Lineage: Eukaryota; Viridiplantae; Streptophyta; Magnoliopsida; Fabales; Fabaceae
Description: long non-coding RNA (LANG_LNC000214)
Source: RNAcentral